RNAcentral lists this ribosomal RNA (253 nucleotides) under uncultured bacterium. Its description in RNAcentral is "partial 16S ribosomal RNA". It matches the Rfam family "Bacterial small subunit ribosomal RNA", at positions 524 to 776 of the family's 1533-position model. The record is from RNAcentral.
GACAGAGGGUGCAAACGUUGCUCGGAAUUACUGGGCGUAAAGAGCGCGCAGGCGGUCGUUCAAGUCGCGUGUGAAAGCCCCCGGCUCAACUGGGGAGGGUCACGCGAUACUGAUCGACUCGAAGGCAGGAGAGGGAAGUGGAAUUCCCGGUGUAGUGGUGAAAUGCGUAGAUAUCGGGAGGAACACCAGUGGCGAAGGCGACUUCCUGGCCUGUUCUUGACGCUGAGGCGCGAAAGCUAGGGGAGCAAACGGG